CACGCCGUAAACGAUGAGUACUAGGUGUAGGAGGUAUCGACCCCUUCUGUGCCGCAGUAAACACAAUAAGUACUCCGCCUGGGAAGUACGAUCGCAAGAUUAAAACUCAAAGGAAUUGACGGGGGCCCGCACAAGCAGCGGAGCAUGUGGUUUAAUUCGAUGCAACGCGAAGAACCUUACCAAGGCUUGACAUCUAAAGAAUCUAAUAGAGAUAUUGGAGUGCCCCGAAAGGGGAGCUUUAAGACAGGUGG
This 251-nucleotide ribosomal RNA is filed under the name uncultured bacterium. RNAcentral's name for it is "partial 16S ribosomal RNA". It matches the Rfam family "Bacterial small subunit ribosomal RNA", at positions 796 to 1041 of the family's 1533-position model. The record is from RNAcentral.